This is a long non-coding RNA of Lineus longissimus, 587 nucleotides long. RefSeq lists it as uncharacterized. The record is from RefSeq and is a predicted model, not a curated record. The transcript is spliced from 2 exons. Lineage: Eukaryota; Metazoa; Nemertea; Pilidiophora; Heteronemertea; Lineidae.
UGAGCAUUAUGUUUACAACGUAGUUAUUAUAGCACGAAAUAUGAGUCUAAAAUGCCAAAUACUUGCAACUAUUAUGUUAAUCACUGAAAUCUUAGUGUACUAAUUGCUCGCUAUAAGCUAGGUUAUUGCGCCCCUAAACCAACGUACUGACAACGCUACCUCCCCGGAACUCAAACUUUAACCGGGCAUGACUUGGUACAUCCAGUGACCCAGCAAAAAGUAGCCUCGGUACAGCCAGAAGUAGCAACAACUCGCAAAAGGGGAUCCUUGUCUGACUGCAAAGAAAUGCAUAGCGAAUAAGCCCCCUAGGUUUUCUUCUUUAGGUUGUGAGGAGAAUAUUUCAAAUCCUUUGAGCAGCAGUGUCUAACCUACAACGCGGUCAAUGAUUUCCACUGUGCUCAUGUUUGUUUUGUGUAUCAUAACUGAAUAUGGAAGGAUGAGGAAAUUUUUGUUAUCAAAACCCAUUUACUUCUUAUUUCAAGUGUUUUUGUUCUCACUGUUUCAGACACUUGUUGGAAAAGGAAGGACCAAAGGUGCCAUCGUCGAUGGCCCAGAUAGAUGAAGAGAUUGAAGCCUGGGCUGCACAC